AAAAGUCAGACGCUUAACUGACUGAGCCACCCAAGUGCCUCACAUCUGAUAAUAUUCUAAUGAGAGUAAAUUCAUAAAAUAUUUACCUACUGAAUCACAUUUAAAAAACUAGAAGCCAGGAUUUUUUAGUGUGAAGAGCCAGGCAUUGCACUGACCAUUUUAAAUAUAUCAGCUCAUUUAGUUAUGACAACUCUACAAAAUAUCACAUUAUUCCUAUUCUUUGGAUGAGGAAAGUCAGGUUAGGACUGGUUACUCAAUGUCAUAUUAUUAGUAAGUGGAAGUAAUGGGAUUUGAACCCAGGCUAUUUGAAUUCAAAGUCUACGUACUUUAUCACAGUACCUGCAAUGAAGCAGCUACUCCAUGAAUUGUGAGGACUACAAACAAUAAAACAAUGACAAAGGCAUGUCUGCUAUCAUGCAUUUCCCCAAGGCACAAAUUAUGACUCUUUCGAUGAUGACAAAUUCAAGUCCCUUUCAUUAGCCUUUGUGUUGAGAGUUUAACUAAACUACUCUCCAUAAUGCUGCUCUCUUGGCAUCCGUUUGGUGUGGCCAAGUGGUCUGCGGGGGCCCUGGACUGAUACAAGCCCCUCAUGAAAGCAUGUGCCCUAGACAAUAGCUCUCAGAGUCACAAAUAAAUACAAAUUCCUGAUGUGACUCCCCACACCACGCUGGUGAUAGUCUCCCCCACCUCCCAGGGCCUUCCCUUGUGCAUCCCUUAGAUAAGACCCCCAUGAAGCUCCUUUUGGUUUGAAUAGACCAGAUAAGCCUUAGCCUGGGAACCCCAAAACACUCUAUUCCGGGACCCUCACAAAGGCGUGAACCUCAGGUCCUGCCUUGCUCUCUGCCUGCACCCUGCCUUGGCCUCCCACUGUGGUCCCUGGAGGCAUACCAUGUAGCUCCUCUAGGACCUGUGGGUAAGAAACUUCUCUCUUUCAAUUCCCUUGUGGGUUUUGCUGAACCUGAGGCUCACCAUCCAACACCCCAGGGCACUGCUUAACAAAGUCACUGCUUCGACAAAGUCACAGCCCCUCUGCUUCCACUUUCUCAGAAGCUUCCUGGACUCUCCAUUCACUGGUUUAAUACUGAUUAUUUGGGUAGAUAGUUCAGUAGAUACCAGCGGCCAGUAAAGACCUCUUUGACUCAAAUCUGCCUCCACUUUUCCAAGAAGAAGUGCAACGUCUGCUUCCAUCUUCCCUGCCCUGUUUGUAGUUGGAUCAUCUUCAUAACUGUCAUUACUCAUCUGUUUCCUCCCUUGGGAUUCUGCUCAUAUGCCACAGGCCCCUGGAAACAGUGUCUGUCACAGCAAAGGGCUGUGAACUGGCCCUAAACCACACCGGCAACCCCAUCACCCCUUGAGCUUCCCCUUUCCUCACUCCUAGCUCUACUCUGCUAGUUAACUUCUUCAUCUGCAGCCUGAGAAUUUGUGCUGUGCAAAGGAGCACAGGACAAAUCCUGGAACACACUACACAUUUGACUUUCAUGAAGAGAACAGUAACCUCUAGGCCCAGAUGUGCUCAAGGUCUGAGAAGGGUCCCAUUGCAUCAGCCUCCCUGAGACACUCAGCCACUCUGGCACCACCACACAUGGCCAUACUGCUUGUUGUGGUGGGGGGUGGGGGGGUUACCAUCUCUAUCCAUCUCUGGAGCUUCUGCAGCUGCCUACAUUUCUUUAAUCCAAUCAAAGAUACACAGUCCUGUUUCUUUUCUCAUCAUGAUGAGAUUGCCAGAAGCAAGAUAUUCAUCCUUUCUGGCAAACCCAUCUCUCUCAAGAAAGACCAUCUCUGAGGCUGCCUAGCUUUCCUUACCUGUCUAGACUGUCCAGGGACUGUCUCAGGUAAGACCCCACUCCUUAGUACUUUCCCAUAUCAUUCACACUCUCUCACUCUUUCCAAAAUCCUUGGGGGCAAUUCAGUGUCCUUGAUAAUGUCUUGAUUGUGAAGGAGAGCCUCACUUCCCACCAUGUAAUAGAAGGGCAUGGUGCAUAAAGGCUGAGCUCUAUCCACAACACUCAACCAAGGACCUACUCUCUUGUUUUCUCGAAUAAGCCACCUCUAAACCCUCUCUAGGAAAGACAACACUUAGAAGUUCCCUGUGCAAUUUUUGCCAAAAUUAUAAUUCCAUUUUUUCUUUGAAGGUAGGCAGAAUUACCACCACCACCACCACUCCACACACAGAGAUGUUCACAUUCUAAUUCUAGAAACCUAUGGAUAAGAUUAUCUUACCUGGCAAAGAGAACCUUGUGGGUGUGAUUCAGUUAAGCAUCUUGAGAUGGGGAGAAUUGAUGAGACUAUCCAUGUGUGUCCAGUCUAAUCACAUGGGGUUUUUUAACAACAGAGAACCUUUCCCAGCUGUGAUCAAAGAACAAUAGGGUAAUAGAGAUGAGACAUUGCUAGCUUUUAAGAUUGGGGGCAAAAAAGCUGCAAGUGAAGGAAUGCAACCUCCACAAGCUGGAAAAGGCGAGAAAACAAAUUCUCCCUUAGACCUUCCAGAAGGAGCACAGACCUUCAGACACCUUGAUUUUACCCCCAAUGAGACCUGGGUUGGCCUUCUGACCUCCAGAAGUGUAAGACCCCUGAGAACUCCAUAUCGUGGUGUUCAGUGAUUGUGUAAAGUCCAAUCACCAAACUCUUCCAGGAGAGAGAAUGUGACUCAGUGCUAUCCCAGUAUGUAAUGAAGCUUCACCAAACUGUGUCAAGAGCAUUUAAAGCAAGUGUCAAGGAUCAUAUUUACAGGCUCAGAAGAAUCACAAAGACCAUGUGCAACAUACCUAUAGUUGGAUCAAAAUAGAAGAGUAAUGGCUUGUGAGGAAGUAAGUCACUUCUUGUGGAGGUUAUCCUAAUGCAAGGAAUAAAAAAGAAAGCAAUCGAUCUGGGAUCUGGCCUUUGGUUUUCUGAUUUAGGGUUCAGGGGUAGAAGUAAGAAAACCUGCAUUUUGUUCCUGUACUUGGUACUCACUUCCCCAGGGUCUUUUAGGGAUACAAAUAAUGAAACAGCAGGAGAUUGUAAGCAAGAAGACACGAACUUCCUUUUAAAACAUUGGACAAGAUUGGGAUGUUCUACAAACUAACAGAGUGAAAUUCAGGGAAGAUGAUAUUGGCAAACAAAAAUCUUUAUGCAAACUCAAUAUCAAAAAAUCUAGCUACCUAUAAUUUGCCUCAAAAACGCCUGAAGUGAAAUGUAGGAACUAUAAACAAGACUAAUGAAAAAUAAAUUGUAGAAUUUGCAGGUGCUGGUCUAGGUGCAAUCAGACCUCAAACACAUUCAGAUUUAAUAUGAAAUUUCUUGAUGCAAAGUAUUCCCCAAGGGAAGAUGAGAAAACCUUAGUAUAUUAAAAUAAAAAAUAUUGUCUUUAUUAUAAGGGCAAAUGAUACUUGCACAUAUAGAAUCUUAUUGGAAGUUAUUAUUUUCCCCAAAUAUCAGGGUUUCUAACACCUAUGUCAGGGUAAUGAUUUUGCUCUCAUUUCUAAAGUUUACCAAACACAUUACAAAUUAUCUUGAAUGGGCUGUAGUGUGGGAAGAUGAAGGCAAGAUAUUAUUAUUUUUUUCAGGUAUUGACCAAGAAAUAGACAAAGAUAUGUUAAGUGAUAUUUUCAAGAUCAUAUGCUAGAAUUUUACUUCUAGCUAAGAUAAAGUAGUUUGCACUAGACCAAUUAUUCUGGGAAGAACAAAUAGAAAACUCAGAUAAAAUGUAAAGAAAAACAGCAAUAACAACAGCUGUCUGACUGAAGGCAUUGGAAAAUGACUGAAGCAACCAGGAAUUGAAGGGCCAAGAUCAAGCAGAGUCAAGAAAAGGGAACCACAGAGAGCUGAGAUGAUGUUCUUCAAACAGCUUUUCCCCUCAAGGCAAUUGCUAGUUUUUGGCUUGGAAUUAGAGGCUAACAAUCUACCCAGAGAGCUGUGGCUGAUAAGCAGAGAAACAAAGUUUCUGGAAAUCUCACAAGGGUGCAGACAAAAAAGGGGAAAAAAAAAUUGAGAGCAAAGGGGAGGUUGGGAGAUUGAUUGGCCAAAGUAUCCAAAACUUGAAGUAACAGAAUCCUGAAGAGAAGGAAAGCAUGGAGAAGCACAUUAGAUACCUCAUUUUCUCCCAUAGGCAUAUGCUAAAUCCUUAAACUGCUAAGGACAAGAAGCGAGGCAGGAAAUCACAGAAAAUCAGAGGAGUUUUGGCCUACUCACAGAGUUGAAGAGACAAAAAUAGGAGAAUACAACCUGACAAGGAGAAGCCCAAGUCAAUACUCUAUGCUCAGGAGGGACUCCUGGGAGCCAUACCACAGUUGAGGAGCUAACCAGAAGUAUAUGUAACUUUCCAGACUUCAACCCAGCCUCAAAUCUGUUCAGUUGCUAAUUGAAUCAAAGUGAUCAACUUCCUCCCUGAAUACAUAUGAAAAGAGAGGGUAAGCCCCCUCAAAGGAAGAGAGUGCCUCCACAGUCUUUCAUAUAGAAUAUAUAGCAUUCAAUCAAAAAUUAUGGUCCUAUCAAGGAAAAGAACCAAGAGGAAAAAAACAGGUAAUAUAAACAGACCCACAAAUACUACUGUUAUUAAAGUUAUUAUACUUGAACGUUUAAGGAUAUGAUUAAUGUGACAAAUUAAGAAAAUAUAACUCAAAUAUAGUCCAACAUGAAUAUAUUAUCGAUAAAACAUAAGUUAAAGAUGGAAAAUUUUUACUUCUCUGGUUUUCUACUGGUAUUUUAGAAAGAAUUAAAUGAAAAUUAUGGAGUAGAAAAAUAAAAUACUUGAAAUUAAAUACCCAACACAUAAACUGCAAUUUAACAGCAGUUGGGACUCAGCAGCUAUGUGGAUUAGUGAAGGAAAAUAGGGAAGUAGAAAAUCCACUUCCAUCUUUCUGUAUGGAAAAUACAGAAAGAAAUAUGUGAUAGAUAAUCUUAUGGGUAAAAAUGGCCAGGCCAUCCCGCCCAGAUAUUUGAUCAAGCAUUAUUCUGGAUGUUUAUAAGAGGGUGGUUUUUUGUAGAUGAGAAUAACAUUUAAAUUACAGAACUUUGAAUAAAGCGGUUUGCCUGACAUAACAUCAGUGGGCCCCAUUCAAUCAGUUAAGGAAGGCAAAGACUGACCUCCCCUCAGCAAGAAGGAAUUCUGCUGGUGGAUGGCUUUCAGACUUGAACUACGAUGUCAGUGCUCUUCCUUGGGUCUCCAGCGUGCUGGCUGGUUUACUCUGUAGAUAUUGGACUUGCCAGGCUCCAUAAUUGGAUGAGCCAAUUUCUUGAAACAAAUCUGUCCAUAUAUCUAUGCAUAUUGCAUUGGUUCUGAUUCUCUGUGAAAGUUGACUAAUUUAGAACAUGAGAGACACAGAGGCACAAAGGAAAGGUUUAAAAUGUGUAAUUAAAAUGCCAGAGGUAAGGAGAGAGUGAUAAUGGGGGGAAAAGACAAUUCACAAAAGCUCCUGGCAUACACAUAUAUAUUUUAUAACAAAUUAGUUAUUACAUUAAAUAUAAAGGGAUUAAACAUUCCUAUUAAGGGGCAAAGAUUGUCCAAUUGAAUUUUUAGAAAUUUAUGUACGGGGACUGAUGUACAAAAAAAAAAUGAGCUCUGUUGUCAGUCAACUCUAUUUUCUAUGACAAUAUUUCUUCAGUCUUCCUUAGCUUGUAUAAGAAUCUAAGAGUCUUGUUAAAACACAAGUUCCUGGGAAACAUCCUCUAGAGGGUUUAGGAUUCGAAGGGUGAUCAUUUGCAUUUCUAUGAGCUUCCAGCUUCCAGGUCAUGCUGUUGCUACUACUCUUUAAAUGCUAAAACCAUUUUGUGCAGCUAUUAUCUACAUGAUGAUAAAUGUAGAUUCACAGAGGCUGUGGUCAAGAUCUGACCCUUGUCUUUCUUAUGAGCUCAUAUGAGAGGUGAAGUCAGAAGAACAGAUAGGCCCCAUGUUUUGAGUUUGGGUCAGACCUCACUCUGCAUUAUUGUUUUGCAAAGAAAUAGCACAUGGAUACAACCAUCUUCAUCUUUUCCGCAAAGAAAAUAAGACUCUCCUAGUCAGCUACCCCAAUCUCCAUAUUAAUAGGGAGCUCUCACAGUGCAAGAUAAAAUUAUGAUCUCAUUUCACUAAAAAUUCUGCUGACACCACUAUUAAGCCAAAAUGGCACCAACCAUUAUCUUCAUGCUUAAAAAUGCACCAAUGCAUAACCAAUCAUUUCAUGUAUGUUUUAUCUCCUCAUCUAAAUUAUACACUAUAUGAGGGAAGGAGUCAUCUCUGCCAUUUUUUUGUUUUUUUGGUAUCUUCCCAAACAUUAAGCACAACAAUCUCCUUCAAUGAAUUAUGAAGACUAAGAGGCAAGGCAAUCACCAAGAAUUAGCAUGGAGUUAACUUAAGUUUGCCUUCUGCCCUACCCAGCGUUCCCAUGUAUCUUAUUCAUCACCCCUCACCAGCAACACCCACCUGACUCAUAUCAACGCACUCAGGACUUCCACUGUGGCUGAUGGAAGCCUCAUGCUACCAAAACCUGAGUAGGAAAUCAUUAAUUAACCUCCUACAUUUACAACUAUUCAGAAAGCAUACCAAAAUGAUGGUACACUCCCUGCCAUCCCCAUGUGGCAGCAACAUUCAACAGUGAGAGUCCAGACACUCCAGCUCCUGCGUACAGCAGACGAACCAGAGAGAGUUGCUGUCGGAAGGUCAAACCCCUUCAAAUUAUAUUUGUAAGUGACCAUCUAGCUGGUUCCUGGCAGGCCAGACAGGCUUUUCCUGACUUCAACUCAGUCAGUCCAGGCCUAACUGAAACCAAGCCUCCGAGACUGUUUUUUGUUGGCUCGAAGCCGGUUGCUUUGUUUAAUUGUUUUUAUGGGUGCCAGGCACUGUGGUGGACACUUAUGACUAACACCUCACUUAUUUGAAUGAUACCAGUUAUCAAUGGUUUCAUCAGGUAAAUGGCACAUAUCAUAAACAAACGAUAAAGCAUGAUUAAUGUGAAAGUUCUGAAAGAAAGUCUUAAGAUGGAUUUCAAUUUUAUUUCCAGAGCAUAGCAUGAAAGUCAAACCCUUUUCUUUUCUUUUCUUUCUUUCUUUCUUUUUUUUUUUUUUUUUUUUUUUUUUUUUUGCAAGAGAAAGGAGAUUACAUGCCUCUUCAUUUAGGGUUAGAAGGACCCCAGAAAUAUUAAACUAACUUAUAAGAUUCAGCAAGCUUUUCUCCUUAAAGUUAAGUAUGUCUGCUUUAAGAAAAUGGAUACCUGACCCCAGGUAAUAUUUUAUUUUUUGGAACCCUGCUGAAUUGGGAGUAAGCAUUCUUUCAGGCCAAAGAAAGUCCUGUGAAAUCUUUCUUGAGACACGUAUUUUGGUUGAGAGCUAAACAGCUGUCCCUCAAGUAAGCAUUUAGAGUUACGGAGAUAUCCAGGAGAACCAGGGGAAAUGAAGAGAAAUGCUACGUUUCAUUUCUAGUUAUAAAGAAUGUAUGACUUGUUUGUGUAACUUGUUUUCAUAAGCCUAUCUGGAAUAUAGGGCACCUAAGGGAUAGUACUUCCAAUAGGCAGUGAAUACUUCGUAUAAAUAUGGACCUCCUCCUUCUCAAAAAUAAGUAACCCCAGUUGUUUCUAUCCUGCUUCCUCACGGGUCUCUCUCCAAGACCCUGUUCCCAGAUUCCUGGUCAUGAAGUCACUACCUAUGGGAUAUCACCUGCUACAAGGUGUUAACCCUCCAGACCACUGAGUACCUGGUAGUCACCAAACCUGAUUGACCAUUCACUGCCUGGCUGUCCUUAGAAGGAGGCACAAUGCACUCCCAAGACCUGUAUCUUUCCAUGCCCUACCAACGAAUGCAUAGCAUUUCCAAGUUUUUAUCACUGCUAGUCUGUCUCACUGUAUCUACUACCUCUUAAGCCUGAAACAUCAAACUCAGUGUGCAUGUGUAUAUAUGUGCAUGUGUGCGUGCAUUUGUACUCAGAGAAUAAUACAGUAGAAAGGACCUGAACUAAUUAGCGCAUAUACUUUCGACCUUCCUCUUUAUAUCCUGCGGAUUCAGUGGAAUCACUUCAAGGUUAGGGGAGGAGAUGAGGAAACCCAAGGGGCUUCAGGUCCUCCCAAAGCCCCACAAUCAGUACAGCUUCCUGACAAUCAGGUUUAUAUAUUGACUUUUAUAGUAAGCAUGCUUUUGAGGAAAGGGUACUCUCACUGUAAAAAGGCGGGUAGUGUUGAAAACCAGAUAUUUACUUCAAUCCCCUUUGUUGUACAGAAGAGAGAAUCAAGAAGAAAUGAAGGUUGUCCCACCAUCACAUAGCUAUUUAGCUAGAGUUGGAAGUACAGCUGAGGUUGCUUGAUUCCCAAGUGUGCGUUUUCUAUGUACCAUCCAGCAGGGAGAAAGGGGAAAAAAAAACAUACUGUGUGCUUAUUGCAUGUGUUAGUGAUCAGGAUAUGUCUUGAUGACAAUCUAGGGUUUAAGUGGCAAACAAAAACGUGGGAGUGGAAUGUCCCAUUCUAUAAUGUGUCCCCAACACAUUUCAGGAAAAUCAGAGAGUAAGCAAAGGGUUGAAGUCCUGGGCUAAGGGAGAUUCUUUCUAGACAUGUUUGGUAAGCCACAGCCUACAUCUCAUAGCAUAAAGAAGCUGCACGAAUCCUAAAGAGCCCUUAAAGAAGUUCCCCACUGGGAACAUAAUGAAGAUGCACCAUAUAAACUAGCAGCGUUUGGAGUUUUCUGCAUCUCAGUUAUUUGUUAGGAGUGUCCAUAGGAUUGUGGCAAGGCUUAUGAACAGAACGUCAGCUUUAUCUUAUCAAUAUCAUUCUAGUGAAGAAAGCUGCCAAAGUCCAGUGGAAGGGUCUUACUAAUCAGAAUCUUUGUAUAUCCAGCCUUGCAGAAUCAAACUGUGAAGGGUUCUCCUGAGUUUUAGAUCUUUAUUUUGUUGGCAAUCAUGGAUACAUAUCAGAAUCACCUAGGGAGUCUUAACUAUACUGAUGCCCAGGCUCAACCCAGAAGAAUUAAGAAUUUCUGCAGCAGAAACUACCUUUACCUCCCAUCUACC
Molecule: long non-coding RNA, 8947 nt
Organism: Leopardus geoffroyi (Geoffroy's cat)
Lineage: Eukaryota; Metazoa; Chordata; Mammalia; Carnivora; Felidae
Exons: 4
Source: RefSeq, a predicted model, not a curated record